Molecule: transfer RNA, 67 nt
Filed under: Marmota monax (woodchuck)
Lineage: Eukaryota; Metazoa; Chordata; Mammalia; Rodentia; Sciuridae
Description: tRNA.Pro
Source: RNAcentral
GGUACAGCUCAGUUGGUAGAGUUCUUGCCUUGGAGGCACAAGGCCCUGGGUUCAAUCCCCAGCACCA